UACGAAGGGGGCGAGCGUUGUCCGGAAUUAUUGGGCGUAAAGAGCUCGUAGGCGGUUUGUUGCGUCGGCUGUGAAAUCCCGAGGCUCAACCUCGGGUCUGCAGUCGAUACGAGCAAACUAGAGUGUUGCAGGGGAGACUGGAAUUCCUGGUGUAGCGGUGAAAUGCGCAGAUAUCAGGAGGAACACCGGUGGCGAAGGCGGGUCUCUGGGCAACAACUGACGCUGAGGAGCGAAAGCGUGGGGAGCGAACAGG
RNAcentral lists this ribosomal RNA (253 nucleotides) under uncultured bacterium. Its description in RNAcentral is "partial 16S ribosomal RNA". It matches the Rfam family "Bacterial small subunit ribosomal RNA", at positions 524 to 776 of the family's 1533-position model. The record is from RNAcentral.